RNAcentral lists this ribosomal RNA (470 nucleotides) under uncultured Alphaproteobacteria bacterium. RNAcentral describes it as "bacterial SSU rRNA". It matches the Rfam family "Bacterial small subunit ribosomal RNA", at positions 9 to 524 of the family's 1533-position model. The record is from RNAcentral. Lineage: Bacteria; Pseudomonadati; Pseudomonadota; Alphaproteobacteria.
GAGUUUGAUCCUGGCUCAGAACGAACGCUGGCGGCAGGCUUAACACAUGCAAGUCGAACGCCUGUAGCAAUACAGGAGUGGCAGACGGGUGAGUAACACGUGGGAACGUGCCCAAAGGUACGGAACAACUCCGGGAAACUGGAGCUAAUACCGUAUGUGCCCGAAAGGGGAAAGAUUUAUCGCCUUUGGAUCGGCCCGCGUCUGAUUAGCUAGUUGGUGGGGUAAUGGCCUACCAAGGCGACGAUCAGUAGCUGGUCUGAGAGGAUGGCCAGCCACACUGGGACUGAGACACGGCCCAGACCCUACGGGAGGCAGCAGUGGGGAAUAUUGGACAAUGGGCGCAAGCCUGAUCCAGCCAUGCCGCGUGAGUGAUGAAGGCCUUAGGGUUGUAAAGCUCUUUCGCCAGGGACGAUAAUGACGGUACCUGGAUAAGAAGCCCCGGCUAACUACGUGCCAGCCGCCGCCGUAAG